UAACAUGAUAUCUACAGAGGAUGAUCUAGUGCUUCUUCGUGAAGCAGAGCCAAAAAAUUCUUUAAUACUAAUCCCUUUAAGGGUCCCUCGGACUCUUCCGGGAUGGUCAGCCUUUCCAAUAGCAGUGGCCAAGAUAUCCAUCCAUCCUUGAG
Molecule: long non-coding RNA, 152 nt
Organism: Neltuma alba
Lineage: Eukaryota; Viridiplantae; Streptophyta; Magnoliopsida; Fabales; Fabaceae
Exons: 3
Source: RefSeq, a predicted model, not a curated record